This 72-nucleotide transfer RNA is filed under the name Microcaldota archaeon. RNAcentral's name for it is "tRNA-Asp". It matches the Rfam family "tRNA". Rfam says of the family: Transfer RNA (tRNA) molecules are approximately 80 nucleotides in length. Their secondary structure includes four short double-helical elements and three loops (D, anti-codon, and T loops). Further hydrogen bonds mediate the characteristic L-shaped molecular structure. tRNAs have two regions of fundamental functional importance: the anti-codon, which is responsible for specific mRNA codon recognition, and the 3' end, to which the tRNAs corresponding amino acid is attached (by aminoacyl-tRNA synthetases). tRNAs cope with the degeneracy of the genetic code in two manners: having more than one tRNA (with a specific anti-codon) for a particular amino acid; and 'wobble' base-pairing, i.e. permitting non-standard base-pairing at the 3rd anti-codon position. The record is from RNAcentral. Lineage: Archaea; Nanobdellati; Microcaldota.
GCCUCAGUAGUCUAGCGGUUAGGAUACGGCCCUGUCGAGGCUGUGACUCGGGUUCGAUUCCCGGCUGAGGCG